This 440-nucleotide ribosomal RNA is filed under the name uncultured bacterium. RNAcentral's name for it is "partial 16S ribosomal RNA". It matches the Rfam family "Bacterial small subunit ribosomal RNA", at positions 338 to 795 of the family's 1533-position model. The record is from RNAcentral.
CCUACGUGAGACAGCAGUGGGGAAUAUUGCACAAUGGGGGAAACCCUGAUGCAGCGACGCCGCGUGAGUGAAGAAGUAAUUCGUUAUGUAAAGCUCUAUCAGCAGGGAAGAAAAUGACGGUACCUGAGUAAGAAGCCCCGGCUAACUACGUGCCAGCAGCCGCGGUAAUACGUAGGGGGCAAGCGUUAUCCGGAUUUACUGGGUGUAAAGGGAGCGUAGACGGCAGUGCAAGUCUGGAGUGAAAGGCGGGGGCUCAACCCCCGUACUGCUCUGGAAACUGUACGGCUGGAGUGCAGGAGAGGUAAGUGGAAUUCCUAGUGUAGCGGUGAAAUGCGUAGAUAUUAGGAGGAACACCAGUGGCGAAGGCGGCUUACUGGACUGUAACUGACGUUGAGGCUCGAAAGCGUGGGGAGCAAACAGGAUUAGAUACCCCGGUAGUC